UACGAAGGGGGCUAGCGUUGUUCGGAAUUACUGGGCGUAAAGCGCGUGUAGGCGGCUUGGCAAGUCGGGUGUGAAAGCCCUGGGCUCAACCUAGGAAGUGCACUCGAAACUGCCUCGCUUGAAUGCCGGAGAGGAAAGCGGAAUUCUCGGUGUAGAGGUGAAAUUCGUAGAUAUCGAGAGGAACACCGGUGGCGAAGGCGGCUUUCUGGACGGUGAUUGACGCUGAGACGCGAAAGCGUGGGGAGCAAACAGG
This 253-nucleotide ribosomal RNA is filed under the name uncultured bacterium. RNAcentral describes it as "partial 16S ribosomal RNA". It matches the Rfam family "Bacterial small subunit ribosomal RNA", at positions 524 to 776 of the family's 1533-position model. The record is from RNAcentral.